This 346-nucleotide unclassified non-coding RNA is filed under the name uncultured Volvopluteus. Its description in RNAcentral is "sequence contains ITS1". The stretch from base 1 to 105 matches the Rfam family "5.8S ribosomal RNA", at positions 50 to 154 of the family's 154-position model. The record is from RNAcentral. Lineage: Eukaryota; Fungi; Basidiomycota; Agaricomycetes; Agaricales; Pluteaceae.
GAAAUGCGAUAAGUAAUGUGAAUUGCAGAAUUCAGUGAAUCAUCGAAUCUUUGAACGCACCUUGCGCUCCUUGGUAUUCCGAGGAGCAUGCCUGUUUGAGUGUCAUAAAUCUCUCAACUCCCUCCAGUUUGUCUGGUAGGGGCCGUUGGAUCUUGGGGGUCUGUCGGCUCUUGUGGGUCGACUCCCCUGAAAAGCAUUAGCAGUCGUGCUGUCUGCCGCCGGUGUGAUAGUUAUCUAUGCCGUCUGGUCCAGCGUAUGCGUUGUCUGCUCCGAACAGUCCGAACAGUCGGACAACACAAAUUGACCACUUGACCUCAAAUCAGGUAGGACUACCCGCUGAACUUAA